AGCAGCCGCGGUAAUUCCAGCUCCAAUAGCGUAUAUUAAAGUUGUUGCAGUUAAAAAGCUCGUAGUUGAAUUUCGGGAUCAGAUUGUCGGUCGUGCCUCGGUACGCACUGGCAUUAUUGGUUCCUACCUUCUGAAGAACCGCGAUGUCAUUAAUUUGGUGUCGUGGGGAAUCAGGACUGUUACUUUGAAAAAUUAGAGUGUUUAAAGCAGGCGCACGCUUGAAUACAUUAGCAUGGAAUAAUGAAAUAGGACGUUUGAUUCUAUUUUGUUGGUUUCUAGGAUCGACGUAAUGAUUAAUAGGGAUAGUUGGGGGCAUUAGUAUUCAAUUGUCAGAGGUGAAAUUCUUGGAUUUAUUGAAGACUAACUACUGCGAAAGCAUUUGCCAAGGAUGUUUUCAUUAAUCAAGAACGAAAGUUAGGGGAUCGAAGACGAUCAGAUACCGUCGUAGUCUUAACCAUAAACUAUGCCGACUAGGGAUCGGAUGAUGUUGAUUUUAUAAUGACUCAUUC
Molecule: ribosomal RNA, 509 nt
Filed under: uncultured Glomus
Lineage: Eukaryota; Fungi; Glomeromycota; Glomeromycetes; Glomerales; Glomeraceae
Description: SSU rRNA
Rfam family: Eukaryotic small subunit ribosomal RNA
Source: RNAcentral